AUGAACGCUGGCGGCGUGCCUAAUACAUGCAAGUCGAGCGCACGGACGAGAAGCUUGCUUCUCUGAUGUUAGCGGCGGACGGGGGAGUAACACGUGGAUAACCUACCUAUAAGACUGGGAUAACUUCGGGAAACCGUAGCUAAUACCGGAUAAUAUUUUGAACCGCAUGGUUCAAAAGGGAAAGACGGUCUUGCCGUUACUUAUAGAUGGAUCCGCGCUGCAUUAGCUAGUUGGUAAGGUAACGGCUUACCAAGGCAACGAUGCAUAGCCGACCUGAGAGGGUGAUCGGCCACACUGGAACUGAGACACGGUCCAGACUCCUACGGGAGGCAGCAGUAGGGAAUCUUCCGCAAUGGGCGAAAGCCUGACGGAGCAACGCCGCGUGAGUGAUGAAGGUCUUCGGAUCGUAAAACUCUGUUAUUAGGGAAGAACAUAUGUGUAAGUAACUGUGCACAUCUUGACGGUACCUAAUCAGAAAGCCACGGCUAACUACGUG
RNAcentral lists this ribosomal RNA (496 nucleotides) under uncultured bacterium. Its description in RNAcentral is "partial 16S ribosomal RNA". It matches the Rfam family "Bacterial small subunit ribosomal RNA", at positions 29 to 507 of the family's 1533-position model. The record is from RNAcentral.